GAUGAACGCUGGCGGCGUGCUUAAUACAUGCAAGUCGAACGGAGUGUUAGCAAUAGCACUUAGUGGCGAACGGGUGAGUAACGCGUUGGUGACCUGCCCUAUAUAGCGGGAUAACAGUUCGAAAGGACUGCUAAUACCGCAUGAUAUCUCCGAGGUUAGAGGCUUGGAGAUGAAAGGGAGCAAUCCGCUUUGGGAGGGACCUGCGUCCCAUCAGCUAGUUGGUAGGGUAACGGCCUACCAAGGCAACGACGGGUAGGGGACCUGAGAGGGUGAUCCCCCACAUUGGCACUGAAACACGGGCCAAACACCUACGGGUGGCAG
Molecule: ribosomal RNA, 321 nt
Filed under: uncultured Chloroflexota bacterium
Lineage: Bacteria; Bacillati; Chloroflexota
Description: bacterial SSU rRNA
Rfam family: Bacterial small subunit ribosomal RNA
Source: RNAcentral